This 468-nucleotide ribosomal RNA is filed under the name uncultured bacterium. RNAcentral's name for it is "partial 16S ribosomal RNA". It matches the Rfam family "Bacterial small subunit ribosomal RNA", at positions 28 to 507 of the family's 1533-position model. The record is from RNAcentral.
GACGAACGCUGGCGGCGUGCUUAACACAUGCAAGUCGAACGGAAAGGCCCUGCUUUUGUGGGGUGCUCGAGUGGCGAACGGGUGAGUAACACGUGAGUAACCUGCCCUUGACUUUGGGAUAACUUCAGGAAACUGGGGCUAAUACCGGAUAGGAGCUCCUGCUGCAUGGUGGGGGUUGGAAAGUUUCGGCGGUUGGGGAUGGACUCGCGGCUUAUCAGCUUGUUGGUGGGGUAGUGACUUACCAAGGCUUUGACGGGUAGCCGGCCUGAGAGGGUGACCGGCCACAUUGGGACUGAGAUACGGCCCAGACUCCUACGGGAGGCAGCAGUGGGGAAUAUUGCACAAUGGGCGGAAGCCUGAUGCAGCAACGCCGCGUGCGGGAUGACGGCCUUCGGGUUGUAAACCGCUUUCGCCUGUGACGAAGCGUGAGUGACAGUAAUGGGUAAAGAAGCACCGGCUAACUACGUG